Molecule: ribosomal RNA, 460 nt
Filed under: uncultured bacterium
Lineage: Bacteria
Description: partial 16S ribosomal RNA
Rfam family: Bacterial small subunit ribosomal RNA
Source: RNAcentral
CCUACGGGAGGCAGCAGUGAGGAAUAUUGGUCAAUGAACGAAAGUCUGAACCAGCCAAGUCGCGUGCAGGAUGACUGCCCUAUGGGUUGUAAACUUCUUUUAUAUGGGGAUAAAGUCCCGUACGUGUACUGUCUUGUAUGUAUCAUACGAAUAAGGAUCGGCUAACUCCGUGCCAGCAGCCGCGGUAAUACGGAGGAUCCAAGCGUUAUCCGGAUUUAUUGGGUUUAAAGGGUGCGUAGGCGGUGUGUUAAGUCAGAGGUGAAAGAUCGGGGCUCAACCGCGGAACUGCCUCUGAUACUGUGGAACUAGAGAGCAGCUGCGGUAGGCGGAAUUCAUGGUGUAGCGGUGAAAUGCUUAGAGAUCAUACAGAACACCGAUUGCGAAGGCAGCUUACUGAACUGUAACUGACGCUGAGGCACGAAAGUGUGGGUAGCAAACAGGAUUAGAUACCCUUGUAGUC